GGGACUCUUUCCCUAAGGAUCUAACUCAAAUGACUUCAUGUUCCAAGCAAAGACAGAGUCUUGUUCGGUCGCGCAUGCUGGCGUACAGUGCCACAAUCACAGCUCACCGCAGCUUCCAACUUCUGGACUCACGUGAUCCUUCUGCCUCAGACUUCCAAGUACCUGGGACUGCAGGCACGAAUCACCACAGCCAGCUUGGAGUGACUUUCUAAGGGUAAUUACAAAAGUAAACUUCUUUAACAUAGCUAUAUCACAGCACGAGUGGGAGGAAGGAAGAUGAGGAGGAGAUGGUUCUUCCUACUGGUCCUAAAAAUGCUCUUGAGUGAUAUCUCUACAAUCAAGGUUUGUAUGAAUUUGCAAGCAGGAAUUCAGGUGAGCAAAUUUAUGGUGGGCAGAAUUUUGACCCCUGUGAUCUUUGUCCUCUGGUAUAAAGCCUUAUGAAUAUGUUGCUUCACGGCAAAAGGGAAUUCAGUUUGAUAACCAUUUGAUUUUAAAAUAGCGAGAUUAUCCUGGAUUAUCUGGGUAGAAAUGGAAGUGGAAAAGGAAGGCAGAGAGUUGGUUAGAAAGAUGUAAUGGAAAAAGAGGCAGGAGAGAUUCAGAACAUGAGAAGGACUCAACCUGCCCCUGCUGGCUUCACAGAUGGAGGAUGGGGGCCCUGAGCCAGAGAACAUGGGUUAUCUCUAGAAGCUGAGACUAGCCUUUAGCUGACAGCAGGAAAAUAACCACCACAAGGAACUGAAUUCUGCCAACAUCUAGAUAAGCAAGAAAACAGAUUAUCCUUUAGAACCUCCAAAAGAAUCCAGCCUGCCAACAUCUAGAUUUUAGUCCUGUGGGAUCCAUGUCAGAUUUCUGACAUACAGAGCUGUAAGAUAAAUAAUGUAUGUUGGUAGGAGGGGUUGGAGGAAAAAAAGUAUCUAUUAAAAAGCCAGUAAAUUGACUACUCUGCCUAUGGAGUAGCCAUUCUCUAUUCCUUUACUUUCCUAAUAAACUUGCUUCCACUUUAUU
Molecule: long non-coding RNA, 1005 nt
Filed under: Pan troglodytes (chimpanzee)
Lineage: Eukaryota; Metazoa; Chordata; Mammalia; Primates; Hominidae
Description: long non-coding RNA NONPTRT014207
Source: RNAcentral